AAACCUAAGUCUUUCCACUAUAAUCAUCAAUAAAGAGUAAAAAAUAAGAAUUUUUACUAAGUGAUGGUGGUUUGAUGAGGCCACAUGCAUCAGCAUGGAUAAGUUAAAGUAGUUUAGGGGCUCUUGAGAUAGCUUACUUUGGAAAGCUCUUUUUUGAAUGCUUCCAAGUAAACAUGCUUCAUAUAGUUAAUUGGGAUGAUCAAUUCUUGGCAUGCCUAUUACCAUCUUCUGUUCUCUUAAAGUUUUAAGUCCUUCAAAAUUAAAAUGGCCAUAUCAAAUAUACCAUAACCAUGAUGAAUCUUCCACACAUGUCUUCAAAUAUAUACAUGACUCCAGUAGUUUGUAGAUUCAACAGAAAUAUUCUAUUGCUUGUCAUAGAU
RNAcentral lists this long non-coding RNA (380 nucleotides) under Elaeis guineensis (African oil palm). Its description in RNAcentral is "long non-coding RNA (EGUI_LNC030484)". Lineage: Eukaryota; Viridiplantae; Streptophyta; Magnoliopsida; Arecales; Arecaceae. The record is from RNAcentral.